AUUCUAGGCAGUGGGGAUGCAACGGUGAAGCCGAGGACAAGGCCCCCAUGCGAAGGAAACAGGGAGCAGAUCUGCAGAGAUGAAAUGCCAGGGUUGGCCGGGAAUUCCAUACCCGACCUGAAUCCAUAUCUACCGGACCCCACAUCCGCCGUCCGACCCAAUGAGGGAGAUAAUAGUUGGCACCGGGUGUGAAUGACCUCAUCAACAUCCUUCCGCCUCUGAGAGAAGAGCUGCUGGAGACUCCUGGAUGUCUGGCCCAAAGCUGGAGGCUCUGAAAGGGCUGAGAGAUGAUUUGGAAGAUACCAUUUGACUGCUUUUUACUGACGUGACCAUAUGUCUACCCGGAGAUUGGAGACCUUGGACAGCUGGAGACCAAUGAAGACAAGAGAGCUGCUCUUUGUGUGACGCAUUUCCUCACCCAGCCGCAGAUUGCAACAGAGGAGAUGAGAUAAAGAUGAGGAACCUCAACAGAAAGGAUGGAUGUAAACAGUGGGUUUGCUGUGCAGUGACAAGAGCCCAGCUUGGGAAGGGUGUUGAGUGGGGUGAAGAUGUCACAGGAACUCACGAAAGCCAGAGGAGUUCACAGUUCAGAGAAGGUCACCUUUAUUGAACUGUUUUCCUGUUGGCCAUCCCUUCUGGGCCCCAAGUUCUGCAUUUGCAGCAUCUGGCACAGUGCUGGGCACAUCCUGAGCUUGAGAAAAGGUAGGUGAACCAAGAAAUGCAUGAAUGAAUGAACAAGGGGUCCGAUAAUGGCUUGUGGGUAGAUGGAUUCUUUGUGGAAGUUGGGAAAAGGCUGAGGCAUCCUGAGAUGGAGAGGAAUCUGAGAGAGGAGAAGGAUGCAGGAGUGGUGGUUGACUAGCCCCUCACCCCAUGCCGCCUCCUGCUGACUCACAUGCCUUGGAACUCCCGGGCUUUGCAGCCUCCUAUCCCGGGCCCCUGGCUCUCAGCCCUCCUUUCCGCCUGUCGGCCACUUAAUCACAUACAGAAGAAGUAAACUCCCCAAGGUCCCUGUUGUGUGGUCCUCUCCUCAAAGUCUGUUUCCCCACCUCGAUUUCUGGAAGUCCCUUUGGAGGAUCUGACAGACAGUCUCCCUUUCCCACCCCUCCAGCUGGACAGGCUCAGGAAACAGAAGGAGUUUUCUGGGAACAGACUGGAGAGGAGGAGCCAGUUAAAGUGACAAAAGGCACAAGUUUGAACUUCCUGUGUCCUGCGCCUGCUGCCGGAGCAGGGCUCUGAGCUGCCUCCAGAAUGGCCCACUGGUCAUGGGGGAAGUAAGAGAGAUUUGCUCACAGCAGGGCAUUUACUUAUAAGCUGGCCCACCCUGGGAUUUGGCCUCGAUGGUGGACAAUCUCCCUGCAUAAGGAAACCCUCUGCAGGGAACUCUUCCAAGGGAGAAGGAGACCAGCCAGACAAGCCUGGCCCGGGAUCAAAGCUCUGGGCCUCAGAGGGUGGGCUGAGUCGAGGAUGGGCUGGAUCUAACUUCUGGGUCAGCGCCAUGAGCAGCGCAGACCCAGCAUGACAGCGGGAUUGGGGGGGGCAGCACCCCUCCUCGUUGGCUCUUGGAACCUGGCCUUUUGGGCACCUGCCUAGGAGGUGUCAGAAACCAGCAGAGGCCAUGUGUGUGUGGUGGCCGCAGGGCUGGUCAUGCUCCAGGGGGUGGGAGGAGGCCUGGGAGGUGGGGCUGGUUUCUCAGAGACCCAGGACACUUGUUUCAAAAUCGGACGGAAAAAAAAAUGAACUUCUAAGACACAAAAGGUCACAUGCUGCAUGAUUCCAUUUAUAUGAAAUAUCCAGAAUAGGAAAAUCCUAAGAGACAGAAGGUAAAUUAGUGGUUGCCAGAGUCUGGGGAGAAGGGGAGAGUGGGCAGCGAUUGCUAAUGUGUUUGGGGUAUCUUGUUGGGGUGAUUAAAAUGUCCUGAAUUAGAUUGUGGUGAAGGUGGCACAAUCUUGAGACUAUACUAAAAACCACUGAAUUGUAUAUUUUAAAAUGGUCUACUUUAUGGCAUGUGGAUUAUAUCUCAAUAAAGCUAGUUGUUUUUGUUUUGUUUUGUUUUGUUUUUGUUUUGUUUUGUUUUAAAGACUAGGGAGUUAGGGACAGAAAAAGAAAAGGAGAGAAUCAAGAACAUUAGCAUAAUGUGUAAUCUUUAGCCAAAUAAAUAAGAAAUGUGUUAAAACAGAAAAAAAGCGAGAUGAGGUUAUACUAAACUAAAAUUAGAAAACAGGUUUCAUCUGGUGUAUUGACUCUGUUGGUGGCUUUUUGGAGUGCUGAGCUAGAGAGUUUUAAGGCUGCAUUUAGACUCAAAAAGAUCAAACAGUGUGAUCACUUAGUGAUGUCUGCUCGAGGCAC
RNAcentral lists this long non-coding RNA (2346 nucleotides) under Sus scrofa (pig). RNAcentral describes it as "lncRNA (ENSSSCG00060073913.1)". The record is from RNAcentral. Lineage: Eukaryota; Metazoa; Chordata; Mammalia; Artiodactyla; Suidae.